Molecule: unclassified non-coding RNA, 201 nt
Filed under: Oryza sativa (Asian cultivated rice)
Lineage: Eukaryota; Viridiplantae; Streptophyta; Magnoliopsida; Poales; Poaceae
Description: partial microRNA MIR442b precursor
Source: RNAcentral
GACCCGGGUUCGAUUCCCGGCUGGUGCAUUUUACCUUUUUUGUGUCGUUGUUUCAGUGCAUAGCUAGCAUGGCACACAUGUAUAUCAACCAUUUUUUUUUGUUGUUGUUGUUGUUUCAGUGCAUAGCUAGCAUAGCAUACAUGUAUACCAACCUGAACUUUUGGUUCUGUGGAGAAGUGCACUUAGUUGAAGUUGAAGGUU